This 775-nucleotide ribosomal RNA is filed under the name uncultured Neocallimastigales. Its description in RNAcentral is "partial large subunit ribosomal RNA". It matches the Rfam family "Eukaryotic large subunit ribosomal RNA", at positions 23 to 634 of the family's 3401-position model. Lineage: Eukaryota; Fungi; Neocallimastigomycota; Neocallimastigomycetes; Neocallimastigales. The record is from RNAcentral.
AGAGAGAGACAUGCGCGCAUAUCAAUAAGCGGAGGAAAAGAAACUAACAAGGAUUCCCUUAGUAACGGCGAGUGAAGCGGGAAGAGCUCAAAUUUGAAAUCUUCAAGGUUUUACCUUGACGAAUUGUAGUUUAAAGAAGUGUUUUCUGCUGAAGUUUUGGUAAAAGUUCUUUGGAAUAGGACAUCAUAGAGGGUGAGAAUCCCGUAUUUGACCAUUAUUUUCAGCUUUGUGAUACACUUUCAAAGAGUCGGAUUGUUUGGGAAUGCAGUCCAAAAUGGGUGGUAAAUUUCAUCUAAAGCUAAAUAUUGGCGAGAGACCGAUAGCGAACAAGUACCGUGAGGGAAAGAUGAAAAGAACUUUGAAAAGAGAGUUAAACAAUACGUGAAAUUGUCAAAAGGGAAGCGUUUGACACCAGUGUUGUUUUCUCGAAAAUCAAUUAAAAAUGGCUCGAUUUUGUAUUGUUGAGACCUUAAAAGCUCACUGUACAUUUUUCGUGUCUUUUUUAAUGCACUUUUCGUUUAACAAGUCAACAUCAGUUUCUUUUGCUGUAAAAGGGUCAUUGGAAGGUGGCUUUCUUUUCGGAGAAAGUGUUUAUAGCCUUUGGCCUCUGCAAUCGGAAGAGACUGAGGUCUGCAGCGUAGACUCUUCGGGGUUAGAUACAUUUGUGCUAAGUUAUAGCUUUUUAUAGACAACUUGUUGACUAUAAUUAGUCUUGUAGCUUACUCGCUUAUGCUAUUUUACCUACGCUUAGGAUGUUGAAGAUGUAGCACAUCAU